RNAcentral lists this long non-coding RNA (5781 nucleotides) under Brassica rapa (field mustard). RNAcentral's name for it is "long non-coding RNA (BRAP_LNC002746)". Lineage: Eukaryota; Viridiplantae; Streptophyta; Magnoliopsida; Brassicales; Brassicaceae. The record is from RNAcentral.
GGAGGGCAACCAUGGUCCUAGAGAUGAUAUGCCAGGGAUGACCUCACUGUCUACCAAUGUGUGCGAAAGGACCAACUCUUCAACAACUUUGAUGUUACGUAUGAGGAGUGUAGACCACCGAUUCUGUUCCAUUACAAGAGAAAGGGCCGUGUAACGGGAAAGGGCCUGAAAGAAGAUUAAGCAUUAUGAAGAAAGAGUAGCUUUACGGCCCAAUGGGAGAUAACUUGGUGGACAAGGAGUCGACUUGGGGUCUAGUAGUAGCAGCCUAUGAGGUGUCAAUAAGACAAGGGAACCACAGCACAUGGGGUGUUGGAUCUGGAGCCGUUGUGAGUGACAAGAGGAAUAUCUCCUUUAUAAGUCACGUGAGUACGUUAGGAAGAGUAUCAAGUUAUUGGUCAUCAUGUUCAUGUCAUGUUAGAAAGAGAAGUUGGGACUUAUCUUUCUAUUGUAACCUUUUCUUGAAGAUCAAUACAAUCUGAGUGUUUUAUUUAAUCCAGUUUACAUUAAAGAGAGUAGCAAAACGUAACAAAUUGGUAUCAGAGCGGUAGAUCCUGACAUCAUGCCACCGAAGAAAUCCGAUUUGGAGCAAGCAAUGGAACAGCUUCAGGUAGAUCUGGGGAAGCUGACGGCCCUGGUCGUGGAGCAGAGAGUGGAACAGCGUCAAGAAGGAGGACGAGUAACGUCGUUGGAGAAAUCUAUGGAGGCGAUGCAACAACAAAUGGGUAGGCUGAGUGUCCUGGAACGUCUCGAGCAACGUUUUCAAGAGGAAGACGAGGCCAAGAAGAAGUUGCUCGAGCUUGACAAAGGGAAGAGACAUGAAGUAGCUGAAGCCUCAACGGGGAGGUUCAACGUCGCCGAGAGCAACUCACCCGUAACAAAACAGAGCCCAGCGAACAAACCCAUUGUGAUUGAAGAGAACGCAGAAGGGUCCGUGCAGAAGGUCUUUGCAACCUCCCGAUACACCAGAUCUAGCAGUGGACAACCGUCGGAUAGAAGAUCUCUUACCCAACAACUCGAGAUCCCAACUUUUGACGGAGAAGACGCUGAUGGGUGGAUCUUGCGUGUUGACCAGUAUUUUGAGAUCGAAGACUUUACGGAGGAAGAGAAAAUGAGGGCGGUACGAAUGUGUUUCCUCGGAGAUGCCUUGUUAUGGUAUCGAUGGGAACGAGAUCGGCGAGCGUUCCAAGACUGGGGACAGAUGAAAGCUAGAGUCUUGGAACAGUAUUCGAAGACACAAGACUCUACCGCAGGAGAGAGGUUACUGAAACUAAAACAAGAAGGUACGGUGCGCGAGUAUUGUCGGGACUUCAUCGCCCUGGCGACAAACGCGCCGGAAAUCGCAGACAACGUGCUGGAGAUGGCGUUCAUGAAUGGACUAAAACCUCGGAUAAGAGCGGGAGUAAAGAUGUUUGAGCCUAAGAGCCUGCAGAAAAUGAUGGAGACGGCAAAGCUGGUGGAAGAAUGGUCGACGGGGGAAAUCUCCGACGAAACUCCAACGUCGAAAGGAGGAACCUCGACGAAAUCCAUUAACCCACGACAAACAGGCCCAAAUUGGUCUUCGGGCCGAGCGCAAACAUCAAAGCCCAAUAACCAUAAGUCCAGCCCAGGAGGAUCAAAUACACCUGCGUCGCCUAGGGGUCAAACAAGCCGACCAAAUAUCGCACACCAUCGCCUCAAACCGCCGUUCCGGCGACUCACACCCGCGGAACGAGCAAAAUGGCUGGCUGAAGGCCUUUGUUUCAAGUGCGACGAGAAGUUUGAUGCACAACACGAGUGCCCACGGAAGGAAUUGAUGGUGGUGAUGGUCUACGACGAUGGUACCGAAGAGGAGCUGACGGAGGAGAUGAUAGAAGAAGAGAGGAACGGAGAUACAGAGAUAGCGGAGUUGUCCAUGAGCUCAGUGGUGGGCAUGUCCUCACCUCACACGCUAAAGUUGAGAGGAUCGUUUGGUACGCGAGACGUGGUGGUGCUCAUCGACAGCGGUGCUUCACACAAUUUCGUCUCAGAGAAGCUAGUCAGUGAACUGGGGUUAAAACUCACAGACACCUCGAGUUACGGUGUAAUGGUGGCUGGAGGAACAAGAAUCAAAGGGAAAGGAGUCGUUGAUGGAAUGGAGCUGCAGAUCCAGGGGCAUAAGAUUGAAGCAAGCUACUUGCCAUUGGAAUUAGGCAUCGCUGAUGUCAUUCUGGGGAUACAAUGGUUAAACACUUUGGGAGAGACUCGUUUCAACUGGAAGCUACAAUGGAUGAAAUGGAAAGAAGCGGAACGUGAGAUACAGUUACGAGGAGACCCAAGCCUACACACAGCGGAGGUCUCACUGAAAGCAAUGAGAAAAGUCUUGGAGCAAGAAGGAGAAGGGAUCAUUGUUGAAUUUGGAGGUAUAAGGAAACAGGAGGAAGCGCAAAAGAGAUUAGAGACAGGAAGAUGGAAGGGAGUUUUGGAGCAGUAUUCAGAGGUGUUUGAAGAACCAAAAGGAUUACCACCUUCCAGGGGAAAGGUCCAUGCCAUCACGCUCAAAGAAGGAGCUAAUCCGGUGAGCGUUAGGCCUUUCAGAUACCCUCAAGCUCAGAAGGAGGAGAUAGAGAGACAGAUCACCACAAUGUUGGCAGCAGGUAUUAUUCAGGAAAGCAGCAGCCCCUUCUCAAGCCCGGUUCUACUAGUGAGGAAGAAGGAUGGGAGCUGGCGUUUCUGUGUAGACUAUCGAGCGCUUAAUCAGGUCACGGUAGCAGACAAGUACCCGAUACCAAUGAUUGACCAGCUUCUCGACGAGCUCCAUGGGGCUAGAGUGUUUUCGAAACUUGAUUUAAAGGCAGGCUAUCAUCAGAUUCUAGUGAAGAGCGAGGACGUACCAAAAACUGCGUUUAGAACACACGAUGGGCAUUAUGAAUUCUUAGUAAUGCCCUUCGGUCUCUCUAACGCACCAUCUACGUUCCAGUCACUCAUGAAUGACGUGUUUCGUCCGUACUUACGCAAGUUCGUAUUGGUGUUCUUCGACGACAUACUUGUCUACAGCAGAACGGAGGAAGAACACAUGGAGCACUUGGCAGUGGUGUUGAAGCUGUUGUCUGUUCAUCAGCUGUACGUAAACAAGGGUAAAUGCGAGUUUGGAAGUCAAAGGGUGGAGUAUCUUGGUUACAUCAUAUCAGCAGAGGGAGUAUCAGCUGAUCAGGAGAAAAUACGAGCAAUGGAGGAAUGGAAAACACCAAGGAACGUAAAGGAGCUCAGAGGGUUCCUCGGUCUCACAGGUUAUUACCGGAAAUUCGUAAGAGGGUAUGGGGAGAUUGCAAGGCCUCUUACGAAACUGCUGAAGAAAGACAAGUUUGUGUGGGAAGAAGAGGCAACAGUGGCUUUCAGGAAACUGAAGGAGGCAAUGAUCACAGUUCCGGUAUUAGCAAUGCCAGACUUCAAAUCUCAGUUCGUGAUUGAGUCUGAUGCAUCAGGAAGCGGUCUCGGAGCAGUUCUCAUGCAACAUCAGAGGCCAAUAGCCUUUUUCAGUCAAGCAUUAUCGGAACGACAGAGGCUGAAGUCUGUCUACGAGAGGGAAUUGAUGGCGAUAGUGUUUGCGGUCCAGAAGUGGAGGCAUUACUUGAUUGGGCGCAGGUUUUUAGUAAGAACAGAUCAGAAGAGUCUGAAGUUUUUGUUGGAGCAACGAGAGGUGAAUUUGGAUUAUCAGAGGUGGCUCACCAAGCUGUUGGGGUUUGAUUUUGAGAUACAAUACAAACCCGGACUACAGAACAAAGCAGCAGACGCACUCUCACGAAAGGUAACAGUGGCUGAGCUUCUAGCUGUAACACUUUCACGGGUGAUAGAGCUAGAGGAUAUUAGUAGAGAGGUGGAGAAUGAUCAAGAGUUGCAGCGUGUGAUCAAAGAGAUUGAGGAGGAUGCGGGGAAGCAUCCUGACUAUGCAAUAGUCCAGCAGCGUUUACUGAGACAGGGGAAGAUAGUGGUACCGAAACAAUCUGCACUGACAGGGUUGAUCAUGCGAGAGUUUCACUGCAGUAAACUAGGAGGUCAUGGAGGGGUGUUGAAAACUCAGAAGCGAAUUACUGACGUCUUUUACUGGGAAGGAAUGUUGACAGACAUCAGGAGGUUUGUGGCAGCUUGUCAAGUUUGUCAGCGAAGCAAAUACUCCACACUAACUCCGAGUGGGCUGUUGCAACCGUUACCAAUUCCAGAGAAGGUUUGGGAGGAUGUGUCACUUGAUUUUGUGGAAGGGUUACCACGAUCUAAAGGAAUUAACGCGGUCUUAGUUGUGGUGGAUCGGCUCACGAAGUUCGCUCACUUCAUAGGCCUCAAACACCCAUUCAGCGCAGUGGACGUCGCAACAAUCUUCAUACAGGAGGUGGUCAGACUACACGGGUUCCCGCGGUCGAUGGUUUCUGAUCGUGAUAGGGUGUUUACAAGCGCUUUCUGGAAGGAGUUGUUCAGACUAUCAGGUACAGCUCUCAAUCUGAGUACGGCUUAUCAUCCGCAGUCUGAUGGACAAACGGAGGUGACCAACAGAGGCAUGGAGACUUACCUUCGAUGUUUCGCGAGUGAGAAACCAAAGUCGUGGGCUGAGUUCUUACCUUGGGCAGAGCUGAGCUACAACACGUCCUAUCACUCAGCUAUUCAAACAUCACCGUUUAAGGCUUUGUAUGGGAGAGAGCCACCGACGCUGGUUAAGUAUGAGAAUGGAUCUACUAACAAUGCAGAGUUAGAGGACAGGUUGAGAGAGCGUGAUCAGAUGCUGAUGAUUAUAAAGGAGCAGUUGCAUAAGGCGCAACAAAUCAUGAAACAACAGUCUGACAAACACAGAAGGGAUGUUGAACUACAGGUGGGAGAUAAGGUGUAUUUGAAACUCAGACCGUAUAGGCAGCAGUCACUGGCUCGUCGUGCGAAUGAGAAGUUAGCAGCCAGAUACUAUGGGCCCUUUACAGUCAAAAGCCGAGUGGGGAAAGUAGCUUAUAAACUGGAUUUACCAGAGGAGACCAGAAUUCACUCUACCUUUCACAUCUCGCAACUGAAGAAGGUAGUGGGAGAAGCAGAAGAAGUGUUACCUAUACCUAAGCAGCUAUCUCAAGACGGAGUGUUGGAGUUGGAACCUGAAAGAGUGCUACAAGCAAGAAUCAACACAGUAACGGGUCAGGAAGAAAUGUUGGUCAAGUGGAAAGGAAUGCCUGACUAUGAAUGCUCGUGGGAAUGGAGUUCAGUGCUGCGUGAUCAGUUUCCUUCCUUGAACCUUGAGGACAAGGUUAAUUUGGAAGAGGGGAGAAAUGUUACGUAUGAGGAGUGUAGACCACCGAUUCUGUUCCAUUACAAGAGAAAGGGCCGUGUAACGGGAAAGGGCCUGAAAGAAGAUUAAGCAUUAUGAAGAAAGAGUAGCUUUACGGCCCAAUGGGAGAUAACUUGGUGGACAAGGAGUCGACUUGGGGUCUAGUAGUAGCAGCCUAUGAGGUGUCAAUAAGACAAGGGAACCACAGCACAUGGGGUGUUGGAUCUGGAGCCGUUGUGAGUGACAAGAGGAAUAUCUCCUUUAUAAGUCACGUGAGUACGUUAGGAAGAGUAUCAAGUUAUUGGUCAUCAUGUUCAUGUCAUGUUAGAAAGAGAAGUUGGGACUUAUCUUUCUAUUGUAACCUUUUCUUGAAGAUCAAUACAAUCUGAGUGUUUUAUUUAAUCCAGUUUACAUUAAAGAGAGUAGCAAAACGUAACAUUUGAUUUGUCUCAUCACCAAAAACUCUUAGGGCACAUCAUCUUCCAAGUUCACCAAGAAGGCAGGCAUCGCAAAGGCACGCACGCAUC